This 788-nucleotide small RNA is filed under the name Oryza sativa Japonica Group (Japanese rice). Its description in RNAcentral is "sRNA Os01g0715450". The record is from RNAcentral. Lineage: Eukaryota; Viridiplantae; Streptophyta; Magnoliopsida; Poales; Poaceae.
AUCAGGGCUUGAGAACCAGCGACAGUCCAACCUUGGAGGCCUUGUCGAUCGCCUUGGUGUCGACCUCGGCGGAGAGCGUUAAGAAAGACUUGGGUCUCCACUCGUGCUGGAUGAGGGCGCUGACCAUGCCGUGGUUGUUGUAGCGCGCCUUCACGGUAGUGAGAGGGUCCAGGGCGUGCUGCAUCCCGAAGCUGAGGGUGUUCUCCUUGGUCGAGAAGCUGUGGGUCAGCUCCGCUCCAGCAGCCGUACCUGACUCUUUGUUCACCAGAUGGUAGUAGGACGCAGUGAGGCUGUCCCCUUUGUUCGUCAGAUCAGCAGCAAGAUCUGAAUUGUUGAUGGUCAGUCCAGCAUCGUACUUGGUGAAGUCCCCAGUAGAAGUAUCAACUGCAACAUCAGCACCGACAGCAACAGAUUUGUUGCCGAACACACCAGAAAGGUUAACCAAAGGCUUUGAGGUCAGGCCAACACCGAGGCUGAUACCAGCGUAGUCAUGCAGGUACUGGAAUGCAUAUACCUUCCCAGCUGUCUGGUAUGGAAAAGGAAGUGAUACGAUUUGCUUCAAGCCUGAUACACCAAGGUCUUCAGUUGUGAUUGUAAAACUUGCCUGAGAAUCGGAAGUAGCUUUCACAUCCAGCAUCACAUUAUUGCUCUUCAGCUUGGUCUGGAUCUCGCUAAAGAUAGCUUCAUCUUUCAUUCAUGCGGAAAUCGGUAAUGCUCACAACUCCAUUGUUGGUGUAGGUGGUCAGGGUAAACUUCUGGUCCGUGUGGAAGUCCUUGUACAGAAGAUC